GAUGAACGCUGGCGGCGUGCCUAAUACAUGCAAGUCGAGCGAACAGACGAGGAGCUUGCUCCUCUGACGUUAGCGGCGGACGGGUGAGUAACACGUGGAUAACCUACCUAUAAGACUGGGAUAACUUCGGGAAACCGGAGCUAAUACCGGAUAAUAUAUUGAACCGCAUGGUUCAAUAGUGAAAGACGGUUUUGCUGUCACUUAUAGAUGGAUCCGCGCCGCAUUAGCUAGUUGGUAAGGUAACGGCUUACCAAGGCAACGAUGCGUAGCCGACCUGAGAGGGGGGUAGGCGGCAGUAGAGCGGGGGCAGGGUCAAUACUCCUACGGGAGGCAGCAGACGGGUAUCGUCGGCAGUGGGGGAAAGCAUGACGGAGCAACGCGGAGUGAGAGAUAAAGGCCUUGGGUUCGUAAAACUGUGUUAUUGGGGAAAAACAAAUGUGUAAGUAAAUAUGCCCGUAUUGACGGUACCUAAUAAAAAAGCAAGGGCUAACUACGUG
RNAcentral lists this ribosomal RNA (497 nucleotides) under uncultured bacterium. RNAcentral describes it as "partial 16S ribosomal RNA". It matches the Rfam family "Bacterial small subunit ribosomal RNA", at positions 28 to 507 of the family's 1533-position model. The record is from RNAcentral.